AGAGUUUGAUCCUGGCUCAGAGUGAACGCUGGCGGCAGGCCUAAUACAUGCAAGUCGAACGGCAGCACAGCAGAGCUUGCUCUGUGGGUGGCGAGUGGCGGACGGGUGAGGAAUACGUGGGAAUCUGCCCAGUCGUGGGGGAUAACGUAGGGAAACUUACGCUAAUACCGCAUGCGCCCUUCGGGGGAAAGCCGGGGACCUUCGGGCCUGGCGCGAUUGGAUGAGCCCACGUCGGAUUAGCUAGUUGGCGGGGUAAAGGCCCACCGAGGCGACGAUCCGUAGCUGGGUCUGAGAGGAUGAUCAGCCACACUGGAACUGAGACACGGUCCAGACUCCUACGGGAGGCAGCAGUAGGGAAUAUUGGACAAUGGGCGCAAGCCUGAUCCAGCCAUGCCGCGUGAGUGAAGAAGGCCCUCGGGUUGUAAAGCUCUUUUGUCCGGAAAGAAAAGCGCCGGGUUAAUACCCUGGUGUCCUGACGGUACCGGAAGAAUAAGCACCGGCUAACUUCGUG
This 511-nucleotide ribosomal RNA is filed under the name uncultured bacterium. RNAcentral's name for it is "bacterial SSU rRNA". It matches the Rfam family "Bacterial small subunit ribosomal RNA", at positions 8 to 507 of the family's 1533-position model. The record is from RNAcentral.